This 243-nucleotide ribosomal RNA is filed under the name uncultured Hydrogenophaga sp. RNAcentral describes it as "partial 16S ribosomal RNA". It matches the Rfam family "Bacterial small subunit ribosomal RNA", at positions 1140 to 1382 of the family's 1533-position model. The record is from RNAcentral. Lineage: Bacteria; Pseudomonadati; Pseudomonadota; Betaproteobacteria; Burkholderiales; Comamonadaceae.
UAAAUGAGACUGCCGGUGACAAACCGGAGGAAGGUGGGGAUGACGUCAAGUCCUCAUGGCCCUUAUGGGUAGGGCUACACACGUCAUACAAUGGCCGGUACAAAGGGCAGCCAACCCGCGAGGGGGAGCCAAUCCCGUAAAGCCGGUCGUAGUCCGGAUCGCAGUCUGCAACUCGACUGCGUGAAGUCGGAAUCGCUAGUAAUCGUGGAUCAGCAUGUCACGGUGAAUACGUUCCCGGGUCUU